This 396-nucleotide ribosomal RNA is filed under the name uncultured bacterium. RNAcentral describes it as "partial 16S ribosomal RNA". It matches the Rfam family "Bacterial small subunit ribosomal RNA", at positions 523 to 918 of the family's 1533-position model. The record is from RNAcentral.
AUACGUAGGGGGCGAGCGUUAUCCGGAUUUAUUGGGCGUAAAGCGUGUGUAGGCGGUUUGUUAAGUUUAAGAUUAAAGCCCGAGGCUUAACCUCGGUUCGUCUUAAAAACUGGCAGACUUGAGUGCAGUAGAGGCAAGUGGAAUUUCUAGUGUAGCGGUUAAAUGCGUAGAUAUUAGAAGGAACACCAGUGGCGAAGGCGGCUUGCUGGACUGUAACUGACACUGAGGCAUGAAUGCGUGGGGAGCAAACAGGAUUAGAUACCCGGGUAGCCCACGCCGUAAACGAUGGGUACUAGGUGUAGGAGGUAUCGACCCCUUCUGUGCCGUCGUUAACACAAUAAGUACCCCGCCUGGGGAGUACGGUCGCAAGACUAAAACUCAAAGGAAUUGACGGGG